Molecule: ribosomal RNA, 253 nt
Filed under: Faecalibacterium prausnitzii
Lineage: Bacteria; Bacillati; Bacillota; Clostridia; Eubacteriales; Oscillospiraceae
Description: partial 16S ribosomal RNA
Rfam family: Bacterial small subunit ribosomal RNA
Source: RNAcentral
AACGUAGGUCACAAGCGUUGUCCGGAAUUACUGGGUGUAAAGGGAGCGCAGGCGGGAAGACAAGUUGGAAGUGAAAUCCAUGGGCUCAACCCAUGAACUGCUUUCAAAACUGUUUUUCUUGAGUAGUGCAGAGGUAGGCGGAAUUCCCGGUGUAGCGGUGGAAUGCGUAGAUAUCGGGAGGAACACCAGUGGCGAAGGCGGCUUACUGGACUGUUACUGACACUGAGGCACGAAAGCGUGGGGAGCAAACAGG